AGAUUGAACGCUGGCGGCAUGCCUAACACAUGCAAGUCGAACGGGAGUAGCAAUACUCUAGUGGCGGACGGGUGAGGAAUACGUAGGAAUUUGCCCUUAAGUGGGGGAUAACCCGGGGAAACCCGGAUUAAUACCGCAUGACCUCGAAAGAGCAAAGUGGGGGAUCGCAAGACCUCACGCUUUUGGAGAAGCCUACGUCGGAUUAGCUAGUUGGUGAGGUAAUGGCUCACCAAGGCGACGAUCCGUAACUGGUCUGAGAGGAUGAUCAGUCACACCGGAACUGAGACACGGUCCGACU
RNAcentral lists this ribosomal RNA (298 nucleotides) under uncultured soil bacterium. Its description in RNAcentral is "partial 16S ribosomal RNA". It matches the Rfam family "Bacterial small subunit ribosomal RNA", at positions 26 to 337 of the family's 1533-position model. The record is from RNAcentral.